Molecule: small nucleolar RNA, 136 nt
Organism: Microtus ochrogaster (prairie vole)
Lineage: Eukaryota; Metazoa; Chordata; Mammalia; Rodentia; Cricetidae
Source: Ensembl
UUUCCCAUUUGACUACCGCAUUUUCUGCUAGUAGAUUUUAGUGGCUAUGCUUAUGGGGUAGAUGAAAAGUGCCGUGAUCUGAGAGGGAGGACUUUUCGAUGUCUUCCCCCUAUAUGAGAUGGCUGAACAGGAAAAA